UACAGAGGGUGCGAGCGUUAAUCGGAUUUACUGUGCGUAAAGCGUGCGUAGGAGGUUUGUUAAGUCAGGUGUGAAAUCACCGGGCUCAACCUGGGAACUGCGCUCGAAACUGGCGAGCUAGAGUGUGGAAGAGGGUAGUGGAAUUCACGGUGUAGCGGUGAAAUGCGUAGAUAUCGGGAGGAACACCAGAGGCGAAGGCGGCUAGCUGGGCCAACACUGACGCUGAGGCGCGAAAGCCAGGGGAGCAAACGGG
RNAcentral lists this ribosomal RNA (253 nucleotides) under uncultured bacterium. RNAcentral describes it as "partial 16S ribosomal RNA". It matches the Rfam family "Bacterial small subunit ribosomal RNA", at positions 524 to 776 of the family's 1533-position model. The record is from RNAcentral.